UACGGAGGGAGCUAGCGUUGUUCGGAAUUACUGGGCGUAAAGCGCACGUAGGCGGCGAUUCAAGUCAGGGGUGAAAGCCCGGGGCUCAACCCCGGAACUGCCUUUGAAACUAGAUUGCUAGAAUCCUGGAGAGGUUAGUGGAAUUCCGAGUGUAGAGGUGAAAUUCGUAGAUAUUCGGAAGAACACCAGUGGGGAAGGCGACUAACUGGACAGGUAUUGAAGCUGAGGUGCGAAAGCGUGGGGAGCAAACAGG
Molecule: ribosomal RNA, 253 nt
Filed under: uncultured bacterium
Lineage: Bacteria
Description: partial 16S ribosomal RNA
Rfam family: Bacterial small subunit ribosomal RNA
Source: RNAcentral